This 1635-nucleotide unclassified non-coding RNA is filed under the name Hevea brasiliensis (rubber tree). The record is from RNAcentral. Lineage: Eukaryota; Viridiplantae; Streptophyta; Magnoliopsida; Malpighiales; Euphorbiaceae.
GCAAUACCACCAUUUGAGCAAGCUCCUCAGCUUUUGCUAUCCGCCAUUGAGAAAGCUCCUUAGAUGCAAGCUCCUCUGCAGUCAUAGAGCAAAGUCUCUCAGGGGGAAUUUCUCCUGACAUAACUCUCUCUCUCAAUUCAGGAUUAUUACGAUCCUUCAAAUUGAAUAAUAGAGACCUGCCCUUCUCCUUAUACUUCUUGUUUACUCCACCAAAUAAUUUGUAGAGUUCUGCUUCGAUUUUAGUAGCCAAAAUUUGGGGUGAUGGAGCUGCUUGUCCUUCACUGUCCAUGCAGAGAACCUCUGGAUUUGUCUGUUUCUGGGCAAUUCCAACGUCCUUUUUUUCUUCCAUCUUCACAGGUUCCAAUACCCAGGAUAGCCCAUUUCCCUGUAAAAGUUCAUCUUUGACAAAAAAACUGUCACUAAAUGAAGCAUCCUCAUCACGUGAACAAAUAGUUGACUGACUGUCCUGGCCAUCAUUUUUUGAGGUCUGCAUAGAAUCAACAGUAUUAUUAGAAGAAAUUUCUUGAGAUAUAUAUUGAACAGCACUACACUGUUGGGCUAAAGGAUCCAUCUUGGUGGGCAAAGAUCCCCUGCAUUCUUCAGACACAUCAGCAGUACCAGAAGUUUGUUCAGAAGGUUGGGAAUUUUCCUGUAUUGGUCCUGCAGCAGCAGCCUCAUUUUUAUCCUUCUUCUGAGAAACCAAAGCUAGUGCAGUUGCUAAUGACUCUCUUAGCUUAGAUCUUACAGACUCAGAUGACUCAUUUUGAACCUUUGGAGAUGGUUGUCCACUAUAAUUUCUCUGAAUUGAUGACUGCUGCAGACCAGCUUUGCUAGAAGUUGAUCUCUUAGACUGUGCUUGCGAACGCUGAGAACCAGAAGUGUUAGAAUUGGACUGCAAUUGCAUAUGCACUGGUAACUUAUUUGGUACAGACAUUUGCUGCAACCAUGGCCUAUGCUCCAUUUGUGCAGCCCGCUUGUUAGGCAUUGACAACUUCUGCAAUCCAGGAUUGUUGAAUAUGGGUUCGAUAGGUGCCUUUCGCUUACUCAACAUUGACGGCUGCUGGGAUCCCACAUUGUUCAACAAGGUUUCCAUCUCUCCCAGUUGCUUGCUAGGUAACAAGAACUGUUCUGAUGCCAGACUGUAUGCCUGUGGAUCCAUCUGUCCCACUUGCAUGUUUGAUCCUGAUAAUUUCUGCAAAACAUUAUUAUUAGGCAUAGUUUCAAAUGGCUGUGCUUGGUUGCUUGACACUGAUAUAUGUUGUGAUAGCGCAUCAGUGGGACCUGGCCCCAUCAUUCCCAUCUGCAUAUUUGGCAUUGACAUCUGCUGAAAUGCAGGACCAUUGAUCCCUUGUCCAAUUAUUCCCAUUUGUAUUGAUGAGUGUAAAUUGUUUGAAAUGGGUUCCAGCUGACCCAUUUGGAUGCCCUGCAUCGGCAAUUGCUGUGAUACAAGAUUGUUGGACAUGCUAGACUAACACCAUAACACAUGCGCACAUCACUACUAUUAUUUGGCCUAGGGUGAGGCGGUGGAUGGAGACCGGUAAAUGACCGGAGAUACGCCGGAGAUAAGAGUUGAAUAGCAAGUGUGAAUAGAAACAGAGUCGGGAACGGAAAUUCGUAUGCUAUUUUGGUUUGUUU